CCCUUAGAUGUUCUGGGCUGCACGCGCGCUACACUGACUGACUCAACGAGUGUACAACCUGCUUCGACAGAAGUGGGUAAUCUUUUGAAAUUCAGUCGUGAUGGGGCUAGAUUAUUGCAACUAUUAAUCUUCAACGAGGAAUGCCUAGUAAGCGCGAAUCAUCAGUUCGCGUUGAUUACGUCCCUGCCCUUUGUACACACCGUCCGUCGCUCCUACCGAUUGAAUGGUCCGGUGAAGUGGUCGGAUCGGUGGCGCCCGCGCGGUCGCGUGGGAAGCCCCGAGAAGUCCAGUGAGCCUUGCCAUCUAGAGGAAGGAGAAGUCGUAACA
RNAcentral lists this ribosomal RNA (327 nucleotides) under uncultured eukaryote. Its description in RNAcentral is "partial 18S ribosomal RNA". It matches the Rfam family "Eukaryotic small subunit ribosomal RNA", at positions 1470 to 1796 of the family's 1831-position model. The record is from RNAcentral.